This 257-nucleotide ribosomal RNA is filed under the name uncultured cyanobacterium. RNAcentral's name for it is "partial 16S ribosomal RNA". It matches the Rfam family "Bacterial small subunit ribosomal RNA", at positions 26 to 307 of the family's 1533-position model. Lineage: Bacteria; Bacillati; Cyanobacteriota. The record is from RNAcentral.
AGGAUGAACGACUGGCGGGUCGUGCUUAACAACAUGCAAGUACGAACGAACUCUUCGGAGUGAGUGGCGGACGGGUGAGUAACGCGUGAGAAUCUGGCUGUGGGUCGGGGACAACCACUGGAAACGGUGGCUAAUACCGGAUGAGCCGAAAGGUAAAAGAUUUAUUGCCCACAGAUGAGCUCGCGUCUGAUUAGCUAGUUGGUAAGGUAAAAGCGUACCAAGGCGACGAUCAGUAGCUGGUCUGAGAGGAUGAGCAG